GUGUCCACGCGAAAGAGAGACAGUUACAAAGAAGGGAGGGAGACCGAGGGUUAAAAAGCAACCGUGUGAGUGGUAUGGAGAAAAUAGCGGGUGAAAGUUUCAGGCCGUGUCUGCAGUAGAAAAAGCUUGCGGGUUUCGUAAGUGUAGAGCGAAAAAAAAAUCGCGGGACGGGCGUUAAACGGGCAUUGUAAGAGUGGUAGUUGGCGGUCGAUCUCUUUUAUUUCUCAUUGCUAAUAUUAAACUGGCCGAUGGUACUCCGGCUUCUAGCGGGGAAGAUCGAAUUCCAUGUGCCCGGGAGCGUCGAACGGUGGUCUCGUUAUUUCGUAAUUUUCCUUAGCUACCGUAAUUGGAGCCUUUUGUACGCGCGUCGCUACUCUAACGAAGAAGAUCAUUAGCUUUGAGAAAAUCUGGUAGUCCCGCAAGUUUCUUGGCUCGAACACCUUCGAAAUGAGCUCACCGACACCUUUAGGGGUGGCUGAACGAGUUGGAAAGAACUGCGGAAGCCGUACGUCAGGGUUCGAGGAGGAUUUUACGGGACAUAGGAUAGCGGUUUGCCUCUCGCAUCGCGCGGUAGCAGAGGCGACAGCGACGGAGGAAGAAAAGCCCUUUCAGUGGUGAGGAACACGCGCACGGAACUCGGGGAAAGCUGGAUGGGAAAGAGGAAGAUGGAAAGGUACGACGGCGCGGCGGUAAGGAGAAAGCGCAGAAGCGAACCGUACGAGAGACACAGAGGGACCGUGAGGUAGAGGGGAAAUGGAAGAAGGGAUAGAAAUGCUUCGAAGUCUAACAAGCAUGCUGCCAGUGCGCUGGCACGCCACGCCAACUCUCGCAGAAACUUAUAAUUGCGAAAGGAGUCGGCAAUUAUAAUUGCCUCCGGCCAGCAGAGACGAAUGUAAUUACCCAAACACUGGCAAGUGGUGUGGCGGCGUGAUCGUAGCGAAAAUUGGGCGUAGAAAGUGCCAUGGUUUUACAAAUAUAUAAGUAUAGUUCAAAAGGCGGCUCUUGCUUCCGUUUAAAGUAAUCUCAUUAAGCAAACAAGAAUUUAAUCGGAACCAUGAGACCAUUUCGCUUCUCGUUCGGAUGAAUUGGUUCGCUGAAGGAAAGAGGAAUGGAAGACAGCGGGCCGCGAACGAAGCGGAGCUGUAAAUUUUUUUCGAUUAACACCGCCACCUUGUAAGCUUCGCGCGGAAAAAAGAAGAUUUCCGCGUUAAAGGCGCGCAGGAUGGCAGGGGCUUCUUCGCUCCCGGCUUUUACGAGAUCGGGCAAGGGACGACAGCGGGACAUCGAGGUAGUCAUUCAGAAAAUUACGUUGGGGGCCAUGAAGAAGGCAUCCGCAAUCACCAACGGGCGACGGGGGCACGGCGGCGUGCCCUUUCCUUCCG
Ceratina calcarata is the source of this 1382-nucleotide long non-coding RNA. RefSeq lists it as uncharacterized. The record is from RefSeq and is a predicted model, not a curated record. The transcript has 3 exons. NCBI's taxonomy places the organism in Eukaryota, Metazoa, Arthropoda, Insecta, Hymenoptera, Apidae.